This 471-nucleotide ribosomal RNA is filed under the name uncultured bacterium. Its description in RNAcentral is "bacterial SSU rRNA". It matches the Rfam family "Bacterial small subunit ribosomal RNA", at positions 9 to 522 of the family's 1533-position model. The record is from RNAcentral.
GAGUUUGAUCCUGGCUCAGGACGAACGCUGGCGGUGUGCUUCACACAUGCAAGUCGAACGAGGUAGCAAUACCUAGUGGCGGACGGGUGAGUAACGCGUGGGAAUCUGCCUUGAGAUGGGGGAUAACGAGCCGAAAGGCUCGCUAAUACCGCAUAUGCCGAAAGGUGAAAGGAGUAAUCCGUCUUAAGAUGAGCCCGCGUCCGAUUAGCUAGUUGGUGGGGUAAAGGCCUACCAAGGCGACGAUCGGUAGCUGGUCUGAGAGGAUGAUCAGCCACAAUGGGACUGAGACACGGCCCAUACUCCUACGGGAGGCAGCAGUGGGGAAUUUUACGCAAUGGGGGAAACCCUGACGUAGCGACACCGCGUGAGCGAAGAAGCCCUUUGGGGUGUAAAGCUCUGUCAGCUGGAACGAAAAAAAUGACGGUACCAGCAGAGGAAGCAUCGGCUAACUACGUGCCAGCAGCCGCGGUA